RNAcentral lists this ribosomal RNA (258 nucleotides) under uncultured bacterium. RNAcentral describes it as "partial 16S ribosomal RNA". It matches the Rfam family "Bacterial small subunit ribosomal RNA", at positions 793 to 1055 of the family's 1533-position model. The record is from RNAcentral.
GUCCAUGCCCUAAACGAUGAUUACUCGAUGUGUGCGAUACACAGUACGCGUCUAAGCGAAAGCAUUAAGUAAUCCACCUGGGAAGUACGACCGCAAGGUUGAAACUCAAAGGAAUUGACGGGGGCCAGCACAAGCGGAGGAGCAUGUGGUUUAAUUCGAUGAUACGCGAGGAACCUUACCCGGGCUUGAAAGUUAUGGAAUGAUGUGGAAACAUGUCAGUCAGCAAUGACCAGAAACUAGGUGCUGCAUGGCUGUCGU